This 563-nucleotide ribosomal RNA is filed under the name uncultured Enterococcus sp. Its description in RNAcentral is "bacterial SSU rRNA". It matches the Rfam family "Bacterial small subunit ribosomal RNA", at positions 131 to 673 of the family's 1533-position model. The record is from RNAcentral. Lineage: Bacteria; Bacillati; Bacillota; Bacilli; Lactobacillales; Enterococcaceae.
CAUCAGAAGGGGAUAACACUUGGAAACAGGUGCUAAUACCGUAUAACAAUCGAAACCGCAUGGUUUUGAUUUGAAAGGCGCUUUCGGGUGUCGCUGAUGGAUGGACCCGCGGUGCAUUAGCUAGUUGGUGAGGUAACGGCUCACCAAGGCGACGGAUGCAUAGCCGGACCUGAGAGGGUGGAUCGGCCCACAUUGGGACUGAGACACGGGCCCAAACUCCUACGGGAGGCAGCAGUAGGGAAUCUUCGGCCAAUGGACGAAAGUCUGACCGAGCAACGCCGCGUGAGUGAAGAAGGUUUUCGGAUCGUAAAACUCUGUUGUUAGAGAAAGAACAAGGAUGAGAGUAACUGUUCAUCCCUUGACGGUAUCUAACCAGAAAGCCACGGCUAACUACGUGCCAGCAGCCGCGGUAAUACGUAGGUGGCAAGCGUUGUCCGGAUUUAUUGGGCGUAAAGCGAGCGCAGGCGGUUUCUUAAGUCUGAUGUGAAAGCCCCCGGCUCAACCGGGGAGGGUCAUUGGAAACUGGGAGACUUGAGUGCAGAAGAGGAGAGUGGAAUUCCAUG